Molecule: ribosomal RNA, 253 nt
Filed under: uncultured bacterium
Lineage: Bacteria
Description: partial 16S ribosomal RNA
Rfam family: Bacterial small subunit ribosomal RNA
Source: RNAcentral
CACGGGGGGAGCAAGCGUUGUUCGGAAUCACUGGGCGUAAAGGGCGUGUAGGCGGUCAGGUUAGUGAGAUGUGAAAUGCCCCGGCUCACCCGGGGACCUGCAUCUCAAACUGCCUGGCUUGAGUAUGGGAGAGGAUGAGGGAAUUCCUGGUGUAGCGGUGAAAUGCGUAGAUAUCAGGAGGAACACCGGUGGCGAAAGCGCUCAUCUGGCCCAAUACUGACGCUGAGGCGCGAAAGCUAGGGGAGCAAACAGG